Molecule: ribosomal RNA, 253 nt
Filed under: uncultured bacterium
Lineage: Bacteria
Description: partial 16S ribosomal RNA
Rfam family: Bacterial small subunit ribosomal RNA
Source: RNAcentral
UACGGAGGGUGCGAGCGUUGUCCGGAAUCAUUGGGCGUAAAGGGCGCGUAGGCGGCUUUGCAAGUGACGGGUGAAAGCCCUCGGCUUAACCGAGGAACUGCCUGUCAGACUGCGAAGCUUGAGACCGGGAGAGGUGAGUGGAAUUCCCAGUGUAGCGGUGAAAUGCGUAGAUAUCGGAAGGAACAUCAGUGGCGAAAGCGACUUCCUGGACCAAUACUGACGCUCAUGUGCGAAAGCGUGGGGAGCAAACAGG